UCUCUUGCCAGGAGCUUCAAGUGAUACAGAGAAUCACCUGAGAUCCAGGCUCUGCUAGACUUGUCCCCAACGUCCUACUCCCCCAGUCUCCCACAGUCAGGGUGCCCCAUAUCAGCUGAGACCUAGGGUUCUGUCUGAAUUUGUUUGUUGUUUCCUAAGGUUCUAACCUGGCAUCUUGCUCAAACUCCUUGGAGGACUCAGACAACCACAGGGAGCCUGAGAAGGAGCUGUUGUCUGGUGGACUUAAUCAUCGCCCAGACAAGACACAUGAUAAGGUGAGCAGUUCAGCUGUGUGACACACUCCUGUGAUAUGUUGCAUUACCCUGGGUCCAAAGCAAAGGGACCAACCAAUCCAGGUGGAGACUUCCAAACUGCCUUGGAAGAAACUAACCUGUCGAUGUCUUGACUUUGAACCUGUGGCUUGAAUGAAAAGGAGAUGAUGAACUGAGCCACCCAGAUUGUGUACAUUGCCACAGCAACCUUAAGCACAUAUCCUUAAUUAGUCGGCUUGGUAUGCAAUGACGUUAUACAUUAAACAAACUGGAAAUCUCAGUGAUGUUUAGCAUAAAAUAUUUUCUUGCUCAUGACCUGAGGUUAGGUAGUCCAUCUAAACUCUCCAGGUGUUUCCAAUCCUAGGCCCAUGAGCCACAGGUAGCACAGAGCAGCUAAGAAUUUGACCCAACACAAAAUCAUGAACUUACUUAAAAUGAGAGGUUUGGGGGCACUUUUAAAAAUAGCUUAAUUUUGAGUGGUUCCCAAAUGUGAUCUUCGUAGAUAAUGUCAUGUGACUCUGUCCAAAGCUUGGCUACCUGCUAGGUUAACUAAGUUCUGUACUUAGAAGAUCACUUUCUGAGCCUGUCAGCUAGGGGAGAAGACAGAAGAACAAGAGGCUAAGGGAAGCUAUUCAAAGCUGUUGGAAGCUCUGUCUCCUGACAUUCAAUUGACCGGAAAAGUCACCAGGCCAGACCUGCAGCAAAUGAGUGGAAACGUGUACUCUAUACAAUCUAGUGAAGCUUUGACAAAGUCACGUGGUGACUGGAAGUCGUGGCAAUGGCUCAACUGACCACAAACCUUCAUGACAGAGACUCGUCCUCGAUAAAUGUGAGUUGGGGACAGAGAGAUGUCUCAGACGGUAAAGGUGCUCGUCGCUAAGCCUGAUGGUCUGGGCUCAAUUCUUGGAACUCACAUGCAGGUAGUAUAACACAGACAGACAGACAGACAGACAGACAGACAGAUAGACAGCCGAUAGAAUUGGCACCCAAAGCUCUCAGUGGAAUGCCUGGCAUUUAUUUGACAAAUGGCCAUUGGUAUUAUAAUAUUUUCAUUGUUUUUAUGUUUGAAAAAUCUCUCGUGUUCAUUUUCUCCUGCAAGUGGAAAUACACAUUUUCCCCUUUGCACAAGCAGAAUUAGCUGAGUGAGUUGUGUUACUAUUUGGUUAAAAGUCUCUGUGGACCACAUUCUUGCAUCUGUGAUUAAUUCUUUUAAAUUCUUGUAAAUUGCAUGUCUACUUCAUUGAGCUGGAACAGAGAUAUGAUUUCAAGUUUAUGUUUCUUGUUAGAAUAUUGAGGGCACAAUUAAAUGUCUUUCUCCCCCUUCCUUCCUAAAAAAGAAGAAAUCAAAGAUUCUUAAAAUGGAUUGCCAUGAAAGGACACAUAAAUAUGUUUCGGUCAAUACUUGAAUUCUCUAAAGCACCAUUGAGACAAAGUGUUAACUGUUCUGAUUAAAUUUGUGAUCGGUUAAGGUGGAAAUCCAUACACUUGCGUGUCACACACUCUUUAAUAAAUGGCACAUAGAGUCUCUUAAUUGUACCCAUCUAUCACUUCCUUCUGUUUCUAGAUGCGUAAAGUUAGAAGAAUCUGGGAAGUCGUGCGUUUUCAUCUUGGCGUGCUUUUUUGAUCUUUGUCCUCAGCCUCUUUUGUUGAACCAAGUCUGGUUUUGAGUUAAAUAUUUCUGACAAGGCUUUAAUGACUAGUUUACAUCCAGACUGUAGCGGGAAAUCUCCUUGCCAAAAAGGGUAUCGGAACCAAAUUUUAUGCAAGAUCUUAUUUUUUUCCAAAGGAAGGCUUAUUAUUAUCUAUUAUUUUGUAAAUCAGAAACGCCCCCUCCCCCAAUCUAAGUACUGUGGUCAGUGUCUAAGUAAUUUUAAAGUUUUUGACAUUGGACAUUUAUUGUCCAUUCUGAUGCUUAUAUGUAUAACGGUUGUUAUGACCCAAGAAAUCAGAAGUGAACUUCGCCAACAUGCCCAUUGUCUUUGCUUUUGGAAGUCUGGUGAAGCCAGUUUAAAAUAUAGUGCCUGUCCUUCUUGCUGCAAGUUGGAUGAGGCACACUUAAGGAAGGAGAGUAGAGAAUUGCUGGAAGGCUCCUUGUCAUCAAGUUGAGGCGUGAGUUAUAGACAUCCCAAUGGUGAGAGGAUGCAUGCUGACUUGCUUGAUGCUGCUGCUAAAGAUAAGCACCGGCAAGCUUGUCUAGCUGGGAAACAGACAUCUUCAGUGGAGACUGCAAGCUGGAAAUUCCCAGGCACCCAGGUGGACCUCACCUCCCCACUACCUCAUAUCCCCAGGAAUCCCUUUCCCAUGCUAUUAGAAUUACAAGAAGAAGCCUUCCCAGCUUGUAAACCAGUCAGUGGCAUCGGCUUCAUUGGAGGUUGUUAUUCUAGAUGUCUGGAGGUGGAAGAACACAUCCAUUGUGUGCGGAGAUCUGUCAUGUUUCUUCUUGGACUGCGUUGCUCCAAGAAGGCCAGUUAGGCUAUUGGAAGCAAACCCCUGGGAUCUGCCUGUCUCUAUCCCCGACUCCCUCCGGUGCUGGGGUAAGAGGUGCACACCAUCAACUCCUGACUUGACCAAACUGGAUUCCCAACUCAGGACUUACAGGUAUGGUUGUAUAAGGACGUCAGCUUGCUCCAAAGCAUCUAUAAGGAGAAGAGCAUCGACAAAGCAUCUAUUUCAGUGUGCCAGGAAUUCAUGCUUUUAUGCUUGAAGAACUACUGAAUCCGGCUGAGAACAGCAGAAGCCCAUGGUGUCCUGGACGGAAGUUGCUCUCCCCAGUUCAGCUGAGGUCCAUCUCCAAACACCAUGGUCGGAUUCAGUUUCUACCCUUCAAGGACCUCGCACAGGGGACUAAAUUUCAACACAGGAACUCUGCAUUCACUGCCACUAAGCCAUAGCAGCAACUGAAGUCUGAUAAUCCUGAGUCAGCAAAAUUAAAAUCAUAAGAUAACUCAUUUCUACUCAUCUUUCUGAAUCAGGAGUCACACUUUCAAGGGGUGUUCUGUGUCUAACGCACCUAAGGGUGGUUAAGAAAGAACAGAGGAAUGGAAACAAAAGAAACAGGAAAACAAGUACAACGGCCGAUGUCUGUCCAAUCAAAUCAAUAAGCCAUUAUAUGGGAAUGCUGUGAAUACCUGAAUGAGAGAGCAGACGUUGAGUUAGCUUUGUAAGAGAGCAAGAAUUUGGAAAUACCAACAGAUGUUUCCAUGGGAACGAGCCUCAGAGAUCAUGAUAAAUAAGAGCAUCCUCCAGAGUAAGAACUUGGGCUGAGUGAUUCCAGCAGCGGAGAAGCUGGAAGAGUGACGACACAAUCCAGCAGAAAUAGCCAGGCCUCUGACAAGUCGGUGGGAGCGAUUAGGACCAGCCAGGACCCUAGGAGAAGUUCUCUGCCGAGUGUGCCUCUCACGACAAAGAAGACCAGCAAAGACGUGAACCCAAUGAAGUGUUGCAAAGCUGUCUCUGCAAGCACCCAGUCACGGUCCAUUGAGUCUUAUGUAUACUCUCUCCAAACAUGUGUCCUCCCACGGGCCUUGCCUCAGCAAAACGCCAUGUAAAUCUGCAUCACAUGAUAUAUCCGGAAACUUUCGCUUCCCAGUCUGAAAUAACUAUUUUCACUCUCUAGCCAUAGCCCUCUGAAUGUACCCCAUCUUGUCUGAAAUGAAUACUUUAAUGUAUUAUUUAC
Molecule: non-coding RNA, 3948 nt
Organism: Rattus norvegicus (Norway rat)
Lineage: Eukaryota; Metazoa; Chordata; Mammalia; Rodentia; Muridae
Source: RefSeq, a predicted model, not a curated record